AGAGUUUGAUCAUGGCUCAGAUUGAACGCUGGCGGCAGGCCUAACACAUGCAAGUCGAACGGUAACAGGAAGCAGCUUGCUGCUUUGCUGACGAGUGGCGGACGGGUGAGUAAUGUCUGGGAAACUGCCUGAUGGAGGGGGAUAACUACUGGAAACGGUGGCUAAUACCGCAUAACGUCGCAAGACCAAAGAGGGGGACCUUCGGGCCUCUUGCCAUCAGAUGUGCCCAGAUGGGAUUAGCUUGUUGGUGAGGUAACGGCUCACCAAGGCGACGAUCCCUAGCUGGUCUGAGAGGAUGACCAGCCACACUGGAACUGAGACACGGUCCAGACUCCUACGGGAGGCAGCAGUGGGGAAUAUUGCACAAUGGGCGCAAGCCUGAUGCAGCCAUGCCGCGUGUAUGAAGAAGGCCUUCGGGUUGUAAAGUACUUUCAGCGGGGAGGAAGGUGUUGUGGUUAAUAACCGCAGCAAUUGACGUUACCCGCAGAAGAAGCACCGGCUAACUCCGUGCCAGCAGCCGCGGUAAUACGGAGGGUGCAAGCGUUAAUCGGAAUUACUGGGCGUAAAGCGCACGCAGGCGGUCUGUCAAGUCGGAUGUGAAAUCCCCGGGCUCAACCUGGGAACUGCAUUCGAAACUGGCAGGCUUGAGUCUUGUAGAGGGGGUAGAAUUCCAGGUGUAGCGGUGAAAUGCGUAGAGAUCUGGAGGAAUACCGGUGGCGAAGGCGGCCCCCUGGACAAAGACUGACGCUCAGGUGCGAAAGCGUGGGGAGCAAACAGGAUUAGAUACCCUGGUAGUCCACGCCGUAAACGAUGUCUACUUGGAGGUUGUGCCCUUGAGGCGUGGCUUCCGGAGCUAACGCGUUAAGUAGACCGCCUGGGGAGUACGGCCGCAAGGUUAAAACUCAAAUGAAUUGACGGGGGCCCGCACAAGCGGUGGAGCAUGUGGUUUAAUUCGAUGCAACGCGAAGAACCUUACCUGGUCUUGACAUCCACGGAAGGUCUCAGAGAUGAGACUGUGCCUUCGGGAGCCGUGAGACAGGUGCUGCAUGGCUGUCGUCAGCUCGUGUUGUGAAAUGUUGGGUUAAGUCCCGCAACGAGCGCAACCCUUAUCCUUUGUUGCCAGCGAUUAGGUCGGGAACUCAAAGGAGACUGCCAGUGAUAAACUGGAGGAAGGUGGGGAUGACGUCAAGUCAUCAUGGCCCUUACGACCAGGGCUACACACGUGCUACAAUGGCGCAUACAAAGAGAAGCGACCUCGCGAGAGCAAGCGGACCUCAUAAAGUGCGUCGUAGUCCGGAUUGGAGUCUGCAACUCGACUCCAUGAAGUCGGAAUCGCUAGUAAUCGUGGAUCAGAAUGCCACGGUGAAUACGUUCCCGGGCCUUGUACACACCGCCCGUCACACCAUGGGAGUGGGUUGCAAAAGAAGUAGGUAGCUUAACCUUCGGGAGGGCGCUUACCACUUUGUGAUUCAUGACUGGGGUGAAGUCGUAACAAGGUAACCGUAGGGGAACCUGCGGUUGGAUCACCU
Molecule: ribosomal RNA, 1529 nt
Filed under: Salmonella enterica
Lineage: Bacteria; Pseudomonadati; Pseudomonadota; Gammaproteobacteria; Enterobacterales; Enterobacteriaceae
Description: bacterial SSU rRNA
Rfam family: Bacterial small subunit ribosomal RNA
Source: RNAcentral